RNAcentral lists this ribosomal RNA (460 nucleotides) under uncultured bacterium. RNAcentral describes it as "partial 16S ribosomal RNA". It matches the Rfam family "Bacterial small subunit ribosomal RNA", at positions 338 to 795 of the family's 1533-position model. The record is from RNAcentral.
CCUACGGGCGACAGCAGUGAGGAAUAUUGGUCAAUGGACGAGAGUCUGAACCAGCCAAGUAGCGUGAAGGAUGACUGCCCUAUGGGUUGUAAACUUCUUUUAUAUGGGAAUAAAAUGUUCCACGUGUGGGAUUUUGUAUGUACCAUAUGAAUAAGGAUCGGCUAACUCCGUGCCAGCAGCCGCGGUAAUACGGAGGAUCCGAGCGUUAUCCGGAUUUAUUGGGUUUAAAGGGAGCGUAGGUGGAUUGUUAAGUCAGUUGUGAAAGUUUGCGGCUCAACCGUAAAAUUGCAGUUGAAACUGGCAGUCUUGAGUACAGUAGAGGUGGGCGGAAUUCGUGGUGUAGCGGUGAAAUGCUUAGAUAUCACGAAGAACUCCGAUUGCGAAGGUAGUUCACUGGACUGCAACUGACACUGAGGCUCGAAAGUGUGGGUAUCAAACAGGAUUAGAUACCCCUGUAGUC